UUCUAGCGAUUGUAUACUUUUUAUACAUUCAUAGUAAUAUUUUGGAUAUGUUUUGUUGAAGAUUAAGAUUUUUGUAUUGCUCAAUUUAAGUUCAAUAAGUAACAUAGAUCACAAAGUUUGCUAAUUUAUAUUGAUGCUUUAAGACUCCUUACAUGACGUUUCCGCAACACACCCGAGGUCAAAGUUCGUAUAUAUUAAAAUGCAACAAUGUGUAUAGUUCGUUAUUGAGGAUAAUGUAUAGAUUAUUUUACAUAGGGAAAGAUAUUUAUACGCUAUAGUUAAUUGUAACUGUUUAAUUUCAACUUAUGUUUACAUUAAAUGACAUCCUUAAGCCAACUUUACUAAUAUUGAUCGCUAUUUUCGUGUUAUACAUCUAUAAUCAUCUUGUUGUUAAAGAUUUGAAGCUUUGCUGCGAUAAUACAGCAGAGAAUUAUUCUCAUUAUGAUUUGGUCGUUGGAAUACUUUCAUCGCGCGGCAACUUUGAUUUGAGGCAAAGUUUACGUGAAUCAUGGGUUGGCUAUGCAAGACGACAUUCAUCUCUAAAUAAAAGCGAAGAUCAGACAGUCUUGAUGGAAAUAUGUGUUGCUAUCUCUCAUGGAGAUUUUACCGUCAUAGAGGCUGGAACGAGUGCAUGAUCAAACGUGUUUAUAUGUUUGUCAUAUUGAUGUUUAGACUACGAAAAUGAAGUAAUUGCUUACAAACGAGCAAAUGAAGAAAAUUUGAGAUAUUUUCACAGUGGAUCUAUCGGAUGGGACUUUGAUAUCAUCCGUCCCAUUAUUUUGACUCGUCUUGGCAUCUCUUUAUCAUCGUUGAAUUCAAAAAGAAACUCUUCUGUUCGACUCUACGACAGAACAACUAAGAGCGAAAUUAUAUCUGUUUAUUUCUCUUUCCAAGACCCUGGUACAACAGAAAACGGUUCGUCGUUUAAAGCAAUUGAAAACUUUAUUUUGCCAAAGCUGAAAAUGAAAUGAUGCUUACCGUAUCAUGGCAAUGAUAGCGAGACGAAACUUGGCGUAAGUUAUUUCCUUUGGGAAAUUCAAACUACUCGAAGACACUUGCCUUUGUACAUAUGCAACAUAAUAUUUGUACAUAGGUAAACUGAACAAGAAUAAAAAAGAAAAAACAUUCAAAA
RNA transcript from Xenia sp. Carnegie-2017, 1132 nucleotides. It is a transcript of the gene named UDP-GalNAc:beta-1,3-N-acetylgalactosaminyltransferase 2-like, with no coding region annotated. The record is from RefSeq and is a predicted model, not a curated record. NCBI's taxonomy places the organism in Eukaryota, Metazoa, Cnidaria, Anthozoa, Malacalcyonacea, Xeniidae. The transcript is spliced from 6 exons.